AUACGUAGGUGCCAAGCGUUAUCCGGAUUUACUGGGCGUAAAGGGCGUGUAGGCGGUCUUGCAAGUCAGUAGUGAAAUUCCUGAGCUCAACUCGGGCGCUGCUUCUGAAACUGCAGGACUUGAGUGCUGGAGGGGAUAGCGGAAUUCCUAGUGGAGCGGUAAAAUGCGCAGAUAUUAGGAAGAACACCGGUGGCGAAGGCGGCUAUCUGGACAGGAACUGACGCUGAGGCGCGAAAGAGGGGGGAGAAAACAGGAUUGGAUACCCUGGUAGCCCACGCCGUAAACAAUGAAUACUAGGUGUAGGGGGUAUCGACUCCCUCUGUGCCGCAGUUAACACAAUAAGUAUUCCGCCUGGGGAGUACGGCCGCAAGGUUGAAACUCAAAUGAAUUGACGGGG
Molecule: ribosomal RNA, 397 nt
Filed under: uncultured bacterium
Lineage: Bacteria
Description: partial 16S ribosomal RNA
Rfam family: Bacterial small subunit ribosomal RNA
Source: RNAcentral